GUGCUUGCUUUGGCAGCACAUACACUAAACCUAGACCACUACAGAGAAGAUUAGCAUGGCCCCUAAGCAUGGAUGACUCAAACAUUCCCAAAGAGCUCCAUGUUUUU
Small nuclear RNA from Acomys russatus (golden spiny mouse), 107 nucleotides. Lineage: Eukaryota; Metazoa; Chordata; Mammalia; Rodentia; Muridae. The record is from RefSeq and is a predicted model, not a curated record.